RNAcentral lists this ribosomal RNA (417 nucleotides) under Triticum aestivum (bread wheat). RNAcentral describes it as "partial small subunit ribosomal RNA". The record is from RNAcentral. Lineage: Eukaryota; Viridiplantae; Streptophyta; Magnoliopsida; Poales; Poaceae.
GUCAUAAUUAUUCUUGAGUCUCGUCCUGAAGAGUUUGAACAAUUUAAGGUCAACUAUAACUCUCUAAAGGAAAAAUGGCCACUCUCUGAGAUGACCGCAAGGAUCGUCCAGAAGGAAGAGAGGAUCAUGAGGCAGAAGAAAGACCAUGUCUUUCAUGUUGGCUCUAACAAGAGAAAGCAUGACGGACAAGGUUUCCCUAAGCCUCAGAAAAGGCAAGUCAAGAAAGAAGGCACUAAGCCAUUCAACCCUAAGGCAUUCAAGGGUAAAGAAGCAGGUGGUUCUUCUUCUGCUCCUAGCAGCUCCACUGCUGGAGAAAAUGCUUGUAACUUCUGCAAAGAGGAGGGACACUAUCAAAGGGACUGCCCAGGCUUUCUAAAAUGGAUGAACAAAAGAGGGAUUCAAUACGAUCCAAACCAU